GGGGGGGGUGAAUUGGUGUUAGUUCAAAUAUAAAAUCUUUUCGCAAUCUUGGUAUGAAAAUUCAAAGCUUUUGAUCUUUCCUUGAAAUGCAAGUUAUUGAAAAAUGUAAUGCAGCGGAAAAACGUAGUUGACUGCUAGACAGAUAUAGUCGACUGAAUUAAAAGAGUGCAGGGAUAGAAAAAUCAAACACUGAUUUUUAUAC
RNAcentral lists this long non-coding RNA (202 nucleotides) under Vigna radiata. RNAcentral's name for it is "long non-coding RNA (VRAD_LNC003494)". Lineage: Eukaryota; Viridiplantae; Streptophyta; Magnoliopsida; Fabales; Fabaceae. The record is from RNAcentral.